This 1565-nucleotide small RNA is filed under the name Pongo abelii (Sumatran orangutan). RNAcentral describes it as "retained intron". Lineage: Eukaryota; Metazoa; Chordata; Mammalia; Primates; Hominidae. The record is from RNAcentral.
GAGGUUGCUGCGGUUUUUCCGCGAUAGUUUGGGGCAGUUCCUCGCGUUGCGGACCCUUCUGAAUUUUCUGGACCUACGCAUUGGAUCCUCAAAGAACUGGUGAUCGAAUUAGGGGAAAAGGGGCCUCGUCGGAGAGUAGAGGUUUGGAGGGGCAAGGGCCGCUGUUUACGUUCUCGUCCGUGGCACCUUCUUGGGCUUGGGUCUGUCCUCGCGUCCCGGGGCACUGGUACUUGGUUGGGUCGCGUCUCACCUGGUUUCAGGGGUUCCGGGGCUCUGAGUUCGCCCACUCCGCCCCCUGCACCCCACGCGCGUGGCCACUUCUUCGCGAUAUAACGUUGGGGUGUUAAUCUCCUUGGGUUUCCCGUUACUGUUCUUUAAAAUGGGGACUUUGGGACCAUCCUAAUGGAAUCGUUUUGGGAACUGGAAGAGAUAACACAAAUGAGAGCCUUAAAGCAGUCCCUGUCACUUGGUGACUGGUGGACUCUUGUUAAUUUCCCACGAAGCCUGUCACGUCCCCGAGUGGGGUCAGAGCUCCAGCUGCAGGGGCCUCGGCCCUUCUCCCUGAUCCCUGCAGGACGCUGGAUGAUCCCGGAAGCCUUCUGACCUCUUUUUAGGAGAGCGAGGGUUGCGUCCACUUUCAUGAAGGGAAAGGAGCAUUUAACUUUUAUGGGGGAUGGCGACGCGGUCAGGGUGUUUCACAGCUUUCUCCUUCCCCAACCCGACCUUUCCAAAAGAGAUGCAGGGAGGGACUUCUUGGCUUCUGAGGGCAAAGCUCUACGUGAGUGGUCCUUGGCUCUUUGACCGAGAUGCUCACCCCAACCGAGAGUGUAUAUAGGUUGUGUCCUCGGGCAUGGGGGUCGAUAAUAAUUAAGUCUUAAUUAGUAACUUCAUUCUAAGGGCUUUAUACAAAUAAAUUUACGCCACACCGUGGCUCUGUGGAGAAGUAUUGCUUUUUUCUAUUUUAAAAACGAAAGUGAGACACAGAGCGCAUAGGCACCCGACUAGUGAGAGGUGGAGCUGGGGUUGGAACCUAAGCAGUCUGGGUCAGAGCCUGAUUUGAUCUUCUCUUGGGAUACGUUGUCUUUGAGGCAGAGGAACUAGUUGGACUUAGGUGGGGAAAGCAAGACUUAGGGGCUUGAAAUUUUCUGAGUUUCUAAAAAUGUUGUCAACUAUUUUGUUUCAAUCAUUACAAAUAUUUUGUACUCUUAUAGAACCAUGUCAUUGCAGAGCAUUCUAUUUUUCUUUAUUAAGAACAAAAUGGGCCUGGCGCGGUGGCUCACGCCUGUAAUCCCAGCACUUUGGGAGGCCUAGGCGGGCGGAUCACGAGGUCAGGGGUUCGAGACCAGCCUGGCCAACAUGGUGAAACCCCCGUCUCUACUAAAAAAUAAUUAACAAAAAUUAGCUGGGCGUGGUGGUGGGCGCCUGUAAUCCCAGUUACUCGGGAGGCUGAGGCAGGAGAAUCGUUUGAAUCUGGGAGGCGGAGGUUGCAGUGAGCCGAGAUCCGCCAUUGCACUCCAGCCUGGGCGACAGUGCGAGACUCCGUCUCAAAAAAAAAAAAAAAAGAA